Molecule: ribosomal RNA, 223 nt
Filed under: uncultured bacterium
Lineage: Bacteria
Description: partial 16S ribosomal RNA
Rfam family: Bacterial small subunit ribosomal RNA
Source: RNAcentral
GAUAUGGCUCAGGAUGAACGCUAGCUACAGGCUUAACACAUGCAAGUCGAGGGGCAGCAUGGUCUUAGCUUGCUAAGACUGAUGGCGACCGGCGCACGGGUGAGUAACACGUAUCCAACCUGCCGUCUACUCUUGGACAGCCUUCUGAAAGGAAGAUUAAUACAAGAUGGCAUCAUGAGUCCGCAUGUUCACAUGAUUAAAGGUAUUCCGGUGGACGAUGGGG